This 533-nucleotide ribosomal RNA is filed under the name uncultured archaeon. RNAcentral describes it as "bacterial SSU rRNA". It matches the Rfam family "Archaeal small subunit ribosomal RNA", at positions 464 to 997 of the family's 1478-position model. The record is from RNAcentral.
GCCGCGGGAACACCGGCGGCCCGAGUGGUGAUCGUGAUUAUGGGUCUAAAGGGUCCGUAGCCGGUUGGUCAGUCCUCCGGGAAAUCUGAUAGCUCAACUAUUAGGCUUUCGGGGGAUACUGCCAGACUUGGAACCGGGAGAGGUAAGAGGUACUACAGGGGUAGGAGUGAAAUCUUGUAAUCCCUGUGGGACCACCUGUGGCGAAGGCGUCUUACCAGAACGGGUUCGACGGUGAGGGACGAAAGCUGGGGGCACGAACCGGAUUAGAUACCCGGGUAGUCCCAGCCGUAAACGAUGCUCGCUAGGUGUCAGGCAUGGCGCGACCGUGUCUGGUGCCGCAGGGAAGCCGUGAAGCGAGCCACCUGGGAAGUACGGCCGCAAGGCUGAAACUUAAAGGAAUUGGCGGGGGAGCACAACAACGGGUGGAAGCCUGCGGUUUAAUUGGACUCAACGCCGGACAACUCACCGGGGGCGACAGCAAUAUGUAGGCCAAGCUGAAGACUUUGCCUGAAUCGCUGAGAAGUGGUGCAUGG